Molecule: long non-coding RNA, 681 nt
Organism: Cyprinus carpio (common carp)
Lineage: Eukaryota; Metazoa; Chordata; Actinopteri; Cypriniformes; Cyprinidae
Exons: 4
Source: RefSeq, a predicted model, not a curated record
AGGAUUUCGGAUCGUUCUCUACACCCACCAAAUCAACUGGUUUCGGAAGUGCGCCAGCCUUCGGCAGUCCUCCAAGUUUUGGCGGAUCUCCAGCGUUUGGUGGGUCAGCGGGCUUUGGCUCCGCCCCUUCCUUCAGCAGUCCACUGGGCUCCUCCUCAGGGAAGGUGUUCGGUGAGGGAACCACAGCCGCCAACGUCGGCGGAUUCGGGUUCGCGUCUCCUCAGAGCGCGCCGUCCUUCGGCUCUCUGGCGGGUUCAAGCGCAGCGCCGUCAUUCGGCAGUCUGGUGUAGCAGCAGCAGCAGCAGCAGCCGCCGGGCUUCGGCGCUCAGAGCGGUGCUUUCUCUGGCUUCGGCUCGUCUGGAGGUUUUGGAGGUUUUGGGAACACCAGCACCAACCAGUAAGUGUUGUGUCAUUCACACACAUCCAUCAGUGCUCUGCUCACACAUUCACAUCUGAUGAUGUGUUCCAGGCCGUCGUCUCAGACGUUCAGCAGUUGGAGGAGUUGAUCGGCGGAUGCUGAUGUAAUCUGGUCUGCAGUUGUUUUAUAGUGUGUGCACAAGAUUGAAUGUGCCGUGACCACUCGUGUUCUUAGCGUGUGCUAAUGUCCUCCUGUUUUAUGUUCGGUGCAGUUUCUUCUGUUUUAACUGCACAAUGAAAAAUAAACACGUGAUGUUGACCAUA